GGCUGUAUUGGAAAACUCCUCAAUUUCAGACAUGUUGGCAAGAGAAGCAUACUGAAAUGUUGCUCAGAAGUACAUCAAAAAAGCCUACUGUAUGUAGAGGUAGUGACAAAAAGGUGAGAAAUAGGUGACGGGACCAACGUUGUUGAGGUCGCCUAAGGCCGGCGAGUCGACGGGAAGAAGCGCUGGUGAGAGACGGUCGUCAGAGAGGGCUCACGCACCGACUAGUGUGACGGCGGGAUGACGGCGCGUGAAGGCGCGUGUACUGGAGUCUUUCGCUGGCGGUAAGUGGAGAGGCUGAUCCUGGGCUGGGUUAUCCACUAGGUUAGGCUGUGACAGCCACGGACUCCUAGAAAGUGACCGGAAAAAGAGAGAGUUCCUCCCUAUGAGGACUUUGU
RNAcentral lists this unclassified non-coding RNA (395 nucleotides) under Hevea brasiliensis (rubber tree). Lineage: Eukaryota; Viridiplantae; Streptophyta; Magnoliopsida; Malpighiales; Euphorbiaceae. The record is from RNAcentral.